UCAGGGACUGGCUGGCGGCUUAGGCCUUUAACUGGGAGAAAAUUCCUGCAGGGACAGAUUCUUGGAGCUAGCUAGAAGCCAAGCCCUCCACACUCUGUUCUCCUGGCCCCUUAUCCACGUUCCUAUCUAGAAUCCAGUGCUGGUCUGUAAGUCUGCAAUUUAUUGCACCAAAGAAUGCAAGGAGCAACUGAGACGCCAUUUCUGAACAUGCACCAGAUGAAGGGAGCCAUGGGAGGCUUCGGGCUGGGUGACUUUUUAGUUUUUAGGUAGAAGUAAAGCAAUGUGUCAGAGAUAGGUGAUUUACUUGAAACAAGUCACCACUGCUUGGUGAGAGGCUCUUGAGAAGGUGGAGAGACAGAAGGGGUACACACUGCUCUUCCCAGGACUUGAGUUCAGUUCCCAGCACUCACUUUUGCUAGCUCGCCGGUCCUUAUAACUCCAGCUCCAAGGGAUGAGAGAGACUCUUUUUGGAUUCUGCUGGUACUGUGGUCACAUGCACAAACCCACACACAUAUGCAUAUGGCUUAAAAAAAAUACAAAUAAAAUCUUUUUUAAAAUUCUAAUAGAAUUUUUGUAUCAGGC
This 582-nucleotide long non-coding RNA is filed under the name Mus musculus (house mouse). RNAcentral describes it as "long non-coding RNA chr19:43883314-43883896". Lineage: Eukaryota; Metazoa; Chordata; Mammalia; Rodentia; Muridae. The record is from RNAcentral.